GUUUAUGGCCAUACCAGCCUGGCUACGCCUGAUCUCGAAAGCUAAGCAGGGUCGGGCCUGGUUAAUACUUGGAUGGGAGACCGCCUGGGAAUACCAUGUGCUGUAAGCU
Molecule: ribosomal RNA, 109 nt
Organism: Salmo trutta (river trout)
Lineage: Eukaryota; Metazoa; Chordata; Actinopteri; Salmoniformes; Salmonidae
Source: Ensembl